CGUCUACGAGUUUGAUCCUGGCUCAGAACGAACGCUGGCGGCAGGCCUAACACAUGCAAGUCGAGCGCCCCGCAAGGGGAGCGGCGGACGGGUGAGUAACGCGUGGGAACGUACCCUUUGCUACGGAAUAGCCUCGGGAAACUGGGAGUAAUACCGUAUGUGCCCUUCGGGGGAAAGAUUUAUCGGCAAAGGAUCGGCCCGCGUUGGAUUAGGUAGUUGGUGGGGUAAUGGCCUACCAAGCCGACGAUCCAUAGCUGGUUUGAGAGGAUGAUCAGCCACACUGGGACUGAGACACGGCCCAGACUCCUACGGGAGGCAGCAGUGGGGAAUCUUAGACAAUGGGCGCAAGCCUGAUCUAGCCAUGCCGCGUGAGCGAUGAAGGCCCUUAGGGUUGUAAAGCUCUUUUCAGUGGGGAAGAUAAUGACUGUACCCACAGAAGAAGCCCCGGCUAACUCCGUG
This 459-nucleotide ribosomal RNA is filed under the name uncultured bacterium. RNAcentral describes it as "bacterial SSU rRNA". It matches the Rfam family "Bacterial small subunit ribosomal RNA", at positions 1 to 507 of the family's 1533-position model. The record is from RNAcentral.